GGGGUUGUGGCUCAGCGGUAGAGCACUUGCCUUGCAUGUGUGAGGCACUGGGUUCGAUACUCAGCACCA
RNAcentral lists this transfer RNA (69 nucleotides) under Ictidomys tridecemlineatus (thirteen-lined ground squirrel). Its description in RNAcentral is "Spermophilus tridecemlineatus (thirteen-lined ground squirrel) tRNA". It matches the Rfam family "tRNA". From Rfam's summary of the family: Transfer RNA (tRNA) molecules are approximately 80 nucleotides in length. RNAcentral also lists the same sequence under 1 other name. Lineage: Eukaryota; Metazoa; Chordata; Mammalia; Rodentia; Sciuridae. The record is from Rfam by way of RNAcentral.